Molecule: ribosomal RNA, 405 nt
Filed under: uncultured bacterium
Lineage: Bacteria
Description: partial 16S ribosomal RNA
Rfam family: Bacterial small subunit ribosomal RNA
Source: RNAcentral
AUUGAACGCUGGCGGCAGGCUUAACACAUGCAAGUCGAACGAGUGGCGGACGGGGGAGUAAUGCUUGGGAAUCUGGCUUAUGGAGGGGGAUAACGACGGGAAACUGUCGCUAAUACCGCGUACCAUAGGAUGAGCCCAAGUGGGUUUAGGUAGUGGUUGGGGUAAUGGCUUACCAAGCCGACGAUCUCUAGCUGUUCUGAGAGGAUGACCAGCCACUCGGGAACUGAGAAACGGCCCGGACUCCUACGGGAGGCAGCAGUGGGGAAUAUUGCGCAAUGGGGGCAACCUGACGCAGCCAGGCCGCGUGAAUGAAGAAGGCCUUCGGUUUGUAAAGUUCUUUCGGUGACGAGGCGUUAAUCACAGAAGAAGCACCGGCUAACUCCGUGCCAGCAGCCGCGGUAAUAC